Molecule: ribosomal RNA, 301 nt
Filed under: uncultured bacterium
Lineage: Bacteria
Description: partial 16S ribosomal RNA
Rfam family: Bacterial small subunit ribosomal RNA
Source: RNAcentral
CAGUCGCCACGGUAAUACAGAGGGUGCGAGCGUUAAUCGGAUUUACUGGGCGUAAAGCGUGCGUAGGCGGCUAAUUGAGUCGGAUGUGAAAUCCCCGAGCUUAACUUGGGAAUUGCAUUCGAUACUGGUUAGCUAGAGUGUGGGAGAGGAUGGUAGAAUUCCAGGUGUAGCGGUGAAAUGCGUAGAGAUCUGGAGGAAUACCGAUGGCGAAGGCAGCCAUCUGGCCUAAUACUGACGCUGAGGUACGAAAGCAUGGGGAGCAAACAGGAUUAGAUACCCCGGUAGUCCCUGUCUCUUAUAA